Molecule: ribosomal RNA, 255 nt
Filed under: uncultured bacterium
Lineage: Bacteria
Description: partial 16S ribosomal RNA
Rfam family: Bacterial small subunit ribosomal RNA
Source: RNAcentral
UACAGAGGUCUCAAGCGUUGUUCGGAUUCAUUGGGCGUAAAGGGUGCGUAGGUGGCGGGGGUAAGUCAGGUGUGAAAUCUCGGAGCUCAACUCCGAAACUGCACUUGAUACUGCCUUGCUGGAGUACUGGAGAGGAGAUUGGAAUUUACGGUGUAGCAGUGAAAUGCGUAGAUAUCGUAAGGAAGACCAGUGGCGAAGGCGAAUCUCUGGACAGUUACUGACACUGAGGCACGAAGGCCAGGGGGAGCAAACGGG